GCAUAUCAAUAAGCGGAGGAAAAGAAACCAACAGGGAUUGCCUCAGUAACGCGCGAGUGAAGCGGCAACAGCUCAAAUUUGAAAUCUGGUCCCCUCUGGGGGCCCGAGUUGUAAUUUGAAGAGGAUGCUUUUGGCGAGGCGCCGUCCGAGUUCCCUGGAACGGGACGCCGCAGAGGGUGAGAGCCCCGUACGGUCGGACGCCGAGCCUCUGUAAAGCUCCUUCGACGAGUCGAGUAGUUUGGGAAUGCUGCUCAAAAUGGGAGGUAAACCCCUUCUAAAGCUAAAUACCGGCCAGAGACCGAUAGCGCACAAGUAGAGUGAUCGAAAGAUGAAAAGCACUUUGAAAAGAGAGUUAAAAAGCACGUGAAAUUGUUAAAAGGGAAGCGCUUGCGACCAGACUUGCGCCCGUCGGAUCAACCGUCGCUUGCGGCGGCGCACUCCGGCGGGCUCAGGCCAGCAUCAGUUCGCUCGGGGGGAGAAAGGCGGCGGGAAUGUAGCUCCUCGGAGUGUUAUAGCCCGCCGUGUAAUACCCUCGGGUGGACUGAGGACCGCGCGUAUGCAAGGAUGCUGGCGUAAUGGUCGUCAGCGACCCGUCUUGAAACACGGACCAAGGAGUCGUCCUAAUAUGCGAGUGUACGGGUGUCAAACCCCUGCGCGUAAUGAAAGUGAACGGAGGUGAGAGCUUCGGCGCAUCAUCGACCGAUCCUGAUGUUAUCGGAUGGAUUUGAGUAAGAGCAUAUUGGGCCGGACCCGAAAGAAGGUGAACUAUGCCUGUGUAGGGUAAAGCCAGAGGAAACUCUGGUGGAGGCUCGCAGCGGUUCUGACGUGCAAAUCGAUCGUCAAACAUGGGCAUGGGGGCGAAAGACUAAUCGAAUCUUUCUAGUAGCUGGUUUUUCUGCUGAAGUUUUCUCUUCAAGGAAAUC
Molecule: ribosomal RNA, 923 nt
Filed under: Scopulariopsis fusca
Lineage: Eukaryota; Fungi; Ascomycota; Sordariomycetes; Microascales; Microascaceae
Description: LSU rRNA
Rfam family: Eukaryotic large subunit ribosomal RNA
Source: RNAcentral